Molecule: ribosomal RNA, 520 nt
Filed under: Rhabditis environmental sample
Lineage: Eukaryota; Metazoa; Nematoda; Chromadorea; Rhabditida; Rhabditidae
Description: eukaryotic LSU rRNA
Rfam family: Eukaryotic large subunit ribosomal RNA
Source: RNAcentral
CGGCGAGUGAAAAGGGAUGAGCCCAGCGCUGAAUCUCUCGGUCUAAGGCCGCUGAGAACUGUAGCGUAUAGGUUUGACUAUCUGUUUGCUAUGUAUUCUCCAAGUUCCUUUGAUAGGGGCUAGUUCAGUCCCGAGAGGGUGCUAGACCUGUGCGAGAAUUGUAGUGAGCAGUUGGUUGUUCCUUGGAGUCGUGUUGCUUGAAAGUGCAGCAUAAAGUAGGUGAUAGACUUCAUCUAAGGCUAAAUAUAACCUUGAAUUCGAUAGCUAACAAGUACCGCGAGGGAAAGUUGCAAAGAACUUUGAAGAGAGAGUUCAAGAGAACGUGAAAUCGCUGGAGUAUGCGGAGAGAGUUGACGUAACCCGGUAGCUAAGUUGUUCUUCGGAGCGAUGGUGCUGCUUAUGGUUGCAUUGGUGGCGUUGGUUUACGACGACAGCUGCGUAGUUUAGCCCACUUCGGUGGUGUCUAUCUUGUGGUCUUGUUGUUGUCAGCUAGCGUGUAAGCCCUGUUCACAGGGUGCCA